This 497-nucleotide ribosomal RNA is filed under the name uncultured bacterium. Its description in RNAcentral is "partial 16S ribosomal RNA". It matches the Rfam family "Bacterial small subunit ribosomal RNA", at positions 28 to 507 of the family's 1533-position model. The record is from RNAcentral.
GAUGAACGCUGGCGGCGUGCCUAAUACAUGCAAGUCGAGCGAACAGACGAGGAGCUUGCUCCUCUGACGUUAGCGGCGGACGGGUGAGUAACACGUGGAUAACCUACCUAUAAGACUGGGAUAACUUCGGGAAACCGGAGCUAAUACCGGAUAAUAUAUUGAACCGCAUGGUUCAAUAGUGAAAGACGGUUUUGCUGUCACUUGUAGAUGUAUCCGCGCCGCAUUAGCUAGUUGGUAAGGUAACGGCUUACCAAGGCAACGAUGCGUAGCCGACCUGAGAGGGUGAUCGGCCACACUGGAACUGAGACACGGUCCAGACUCCUACGGGAGGCAGCAGUAGGGAAUCUUCCGCAAUGGGCGAAAGCCUGACGGAGCAACGCCGCGUGAGUGAUGAAGGUCUUCGGAUCGUAAAACUCUGUUAUUAGGGAAGAACAAAUGUGUAAGUAACUAUGCACGUCUUGACGGUACCUAAUCAGAAAGCCACGGCUAACUACGUG